UGUGGAGACCGGGCACCGGAAAUGUGGACACGGGACGCCGGAAACAGGGACGCGCGCCAGACGCUGGGUGUUUAGAGGCUGCCGUGAGAGGCUCAGCUAUAGGAACACUGUUGGGAUCACUCGCAUCAAUUGGGCGAUGGAUGAUGUGAGACACCGAUGCUCGCGCUCAUGGGGAACCAAGCAUUCAUUUGUGCCGUGCGAGGACAGAGCCCAGAGGGCGGCCCUGGAGGUGAAGGCUACUGGCCGCGAGCUUUUCCAGCAAGUGUGCAACGUGGCGAGCAUCAGAGACGCCCAGUUCUUUGGCCUCUGUGUGGUCAGAAGAGGACAGACUCAGAACCGGCCCCUCAACCUCCCUGGCGCUGCGGCUUGGCACCUCCACCCAGCAGAGCCCUGUGGCCCCAGGGCCUUCUCGACCCGAGGACACCCUUCUUGGUUCUGGCCAGAGCCCUUGCUUUGGAGAUUUGGACUUUUUAAAUGGGAAGUGCUUGGAUUUCUUACUUUAAUUAUCUCUUAAGUUGUAAAUUGUGUACAUUUUUGAGACAUUUUGUGAAUUGUGUACAUUUUUGAGGCCUGUAGCAAAAAACAAGAGAUGCGAUUUGGGGCUUGGAUAUAGAGGCAAGGCAAAAUAAGACAGAGACAGAGAGGAAUAGAGAGAGAGUGGGCUCCACCUGGCCUGGCCUUGGCCCUCGCUGCCUGGAGAUUGCUCCUGUGGCAGUGAGCGAGGGUGCCGGUGUCCAGCCCCUUGGCCAGCCCUGCAGGAGUCUCGUGCUGUCACACCAGUGUCAAGGGUAGCAGGGCACAGUGGGGGAAGUUCAGGCCUUUUGUUCAAUCAACAGGCACCUGUGGACUCCAUGGUGUGUCCUGAUCUGCCUGCCGGGAGCUGAGAGGACGACUCUCACCGGGAAGAGAGUGAGGAGGCUCUGGAGGGUGCAUGUGGUCCCCACCCUGCUGGGUUCAGGGGAGCCUGUAGCCAACGCCAGAAUCUCCCCUUCCAGCAGCAAGAUGCCUGUCCUCCAGCAGACAGUCAUGUGCCAGUCAAGGCUCUCCAGAGAAGCAGGACAAGUAGGACGCGCACGCACACUCCUGACAGAUGUAUGCGUAUGUGUAUGUCUGUAUACACGUAUUCUUCUGAUCCCAUUUCUCUCUACAGAUAGUGUGUGUGUGUAUAGAUACAUAGAGGGAGAAAGAGAGAAGCUGAUUUAUUGUAAAGAACUGGCUCAUAUGAUUGUUGGAGGCUGGCAAGUCUCAAAUCUGCAGGGCAGGCUGGAGACCCAGGGAGAGCCACUGUUGCCAUCUUGGGUCCGAGGGCCGUCGGGAGACAGAGUUCCUUCCUCCAGAGGGGACCUCAGUCUUUCCCUGUUAGUCCUCCAACCGACUAGACGAGGCCCACCCACAGUAUGAAGGUCAUCUGCUUUACUCAAAGUCUACUGAUGUCAAUGUCUCCCUCCCUCCCUCCCUCCCUCCCUCCCUCCUCCCCUCCCUCUCUCCCUUCCUUCCUUCCUUCUUUCCUUCCUUCCUUCUUUCCUUCCUUCCUUCCUUCCUUCUUUCUUUCCUUCCUUCCUUCUUUCUUUCCUUCCUUCCUUCCUUCAUCUCACUCUGCCACCCAGGCUGGAAUGCAGUGCUAUGGUCAUGGCUCAGGUGGAUCCUCUGGCCUCAGCCUCCUGAGUGGCUGGGACUGCAGAUGCAUACCACAACAGCCAGAUGCCUUUUGUAUUUUUUUGUGGAGUCGGGUCUCAUUAUGUUGCCCAGGCUGGUCUCAAACUGCUGGGCUCAUGCAAUCCACCUGCCUCUGCCUCCCAAAGUGCUGGGAUUACAGGCAUGAGCCACCACACCCAGCCUGAGUGUUGCCUUCAUCUUAAGAAUGUCUUCACAGUGACAUCUAGACUGCUUUGACCAUACAGCGGGGCACUGUGGCCAGGCUAAGAAGGGUGCGCCCAUCACCAGAGGUGAUGAUGUCUGCUGUCCCACUUCUAGGGGUGCAGGGAUUUAGGGGGACAGUGAUGAUUUUGAGAAACAAGUGGUUUCAUCUUCUAGAUCGGUGUUGCCGCAAGUAUUGUUCUCGUAGUGUUUGAGGUUAAGUCCUAGGAAGUACUAAGCUUAAGGAGUUCAUUUUCUGUCCUGCUUAUUAUGAUUUGAGAUGGAGUUGGUAAGGAUACAGUGGGGUGAUUUAGGUAAUGAAUGUACAAAUAAAAGGCCUUUUGCUGACCUUACCGAGGCAAAGGUAACCCCAGAUCCUUUAGCAAACAUUGCUAAACAUCUGCCAUUCAUGCUGCAAACACUGAGUUCAAGCUCGAGUACCCAAAUGGUGAAUUCGGGGGAGUCAGGACCAGAGAAUGGUGAUCUAGACCUUUUCACUCGGCAUUUGCUUAGACCAGGCAUUGGCAGACUUUUUCUGUAAAAGGCCACAUAGUAAAUAUUUUGACUUUGCAGUACGAAAGCAGCUAUGGACAUGAUGUAAUAGAAUGAUUGUGGCUGUCUUCCAACAAGAUUUUAUUAACAAGAGCGAGUGGGUGCUGGGGUUUGGCCUGGGGCCCUGGUUUGCUAACCCCUGGCUCUGAGGGUCCUUGGCCUGUUAUGGGGUGGGGUGGGGACUCCCCUAGGAAUGGCCUCUGCAAGUCUGGGCCUCCCUGUCUGUGAGAUGGGGGUAGAUAACAGUGCCAUCAGGUUGAAGAUGUAGGGAUUGGUUCAGAGUCUUUAGCACAGAGCAUGGCACCCAGUGUCUAAGCAGUGAGUUGUUGUGGUUGUUACCGAUGAGCCAAGUGUUUGAUCCUCCCUGACACAAAAGUAAACUGGGGCUGGUGACACCUUGGAGCCUCCCCCUGGGUCUAACGCCGUCUAGAAGAGCCGGGUACUAAGGAUUAGAAAGACAGGCAGGGCGGAGAGGGGCCGAGCCAGGCACCCGGCCCUGUGAUGCCCUUUCUGCAGGCCUCUGUGGGUAAGUCUUCCUCACUGGUGUCUUCAUUUAUCUGCAGACGUGCUAGCACUUGGGGAUGGAGUAUCUUCAUAUGUAAUGCAGGUGGCUGUAAGGGAGUACUGCCUUAUCAGGGACUAACUUUUCCCUGUGGCUUUUAUUCUCAGGACUACAGGUUUUCUAAUAUAAAUAAGAGUAGACGGUGCUCUGUAUCCACGGGUUCCACAUCCUUGGAUUUAACUAACCUCAUGUUGAACAUACUCAAAAUAAUAACAAUAAAUAGUACAACAAUAAAAUAAUAUGAGCUUAACAACACAGUACAACAAAGACUUCCACAGCAUUUACAUUGCAUCAGGUAUUAUAAGGAAUCUCAAGGUGAUGUAAAGUGUACAUGAGGAUGUGCAUAGGGUACACGCAAACUCUACACCAUUCCCGGGUUUUGAUAUCCGAGGGGAGUCCUGGAACCAGUUCCCAGCCGACACGGAGGGAUUGUACGUUGCUUUAAGUCGCAGCAGGAAGGGUGUCUCUCUAGGCUUUAUUUUCCUCUCUAGGAAAAUUGUUUAAUUUUUCCAGGCCAUAAAGAAAACACAUGCUGGUAAAUAUUUUUAAAAUAUAGAAACACCUAAUUUAGAAAGAAGCGUCUCUUGUAGUUUCCAGGGAAACCAGGUUAACAGGUAAAGCUGGGAUCAUUGACUUGAAGUUGAUCACGUUGGUACUAGAUUAUAGACAUCUCUAUUUUUAUUGAUUGAUUGCUUAAUUGUUUGAGGCAGGGUCACACUCUUAUCACCCACACUGGAGUGCAGUGGCGCGUUCAUAGCUUUCUGCAGCCUUGAACUCCCAGGAUCAAGCAAUCUUCCUGCCUCAGCCCCCUGAGUAGCUAGGACUACAGGCAUGCACCGCCACACCCAGCUAAUUUUUUUUUUUUUUCCUGUGGUAACAAGGUCUCAUUAUGUUGUCCAGGCUUGUCUUGAAUUCCUGGCCUCAAGCAAUCCUCCUGCCUUGGCCUCCAAAAUUGCUGAGAUUACAAGCUUGAGCCACCGCAUCCAACCCUGACAUCUCUAUUUUUUAAACGACUCAUUCCAUAGCUGAGAGAGGGGUGCCUGGGUUGCAGAGGAAGAGGGUAGGGAUACGUGUUGCUAAAUUGCUUUCCCAAAGGGCGUGCCCGGAGCAUGUGCCAGUUUUGAAUAUCAGCUUGUAAUAUUCCUGCACGUUGGAACAUUGUUUUAGUAAGCAAGCAUUUGACACCUGCAUGUGUGUUAAGAUGCUUUCUGCGUUGUCAGCCAAGGAAAGCCCCAUAUGCAGCGUCAGCUGCAGACGCACAGUUUUCAGCUGUGCAUCUCUUCUCUCCAAGCCACACUCAGUUUUGAACAAACGGUGACACCUGAGAAGCAUGGUGACUGCUCUGAUGAAGCCUUUUGUUUUGCUUUCAGACAAUGAGUAUAUAUUUAUGGAUUUGGAGCAAAAGCUCAGCAAGUACUUCUCAAAAGAUUGGAAGAAAGAAAGAAAUGAAGGAAAUGAGAAACCCAGAGCCCCCUUCGUGGCCUUCCUCCGAGUGCAGCACUACGUGGAAAACGGAAGGGUCAUAAGCGACCACAGGGCACGGCACCUGUACUACUGCCACUUGAAGGAGCGCGUGCUGAGGUCACAGUGCGCUCACCGGGAGGAAGCCUACUUCCUGCUGGCUGCCUGCGCGCUGCAGGCUGACCUGGGCGAGCACCGGGAGUCGGCCCAUGCCGGGAGGUACUUCGAGCCACACUCCUACUUCCCACAGUGGAUCAUCACCAAGAGGGGGAUUGACUACAUCCUCCGGCACGUGCCUACCCUGCACGGGGAGCGCCAGGGCCUGAGCCCCAAGGAGGCCAUGCUGUGCUUCAUCCAGGAGGCCUGCCGGCUGGAGGAUGUGCCCGUGCACUUCUUCAGGCUGCACAAGGAUAAGAAGGAAGGUCGUCCCACCAUGAUCCUGGGACUGGCCCUCAGGGGAGUGCACAUCUACCAGGAGGUGGACCGUGCUCCGCAGCUGCUGUACGACCUCCCCUGGCCCCACAUUGGGAAGCUGGCAUUUCUGGGAAAGAAGCUAGAGAUCCAGCUGGAUGGGCUGCCCGCAGCACAGAAGCUGGUUUACUACACGGGCUGCACCUGGCGGUCCAGGCACCUGCUGCAGCUGCUGCGCGCCAGCCACCAGCUCCACCUCCGCGUGCGGCCCACUCUGCAACAGCUGCGGCAGCGGGAGGAGGCGGAAGAGAAGCAGCACUACCGGGAGUCCUAUAUCAGCGAUGGGCUGGAGCUGGACCUGGCCAGCAGGAGCUUCCCGGGCAGUGGGGUCAGCAGCCAGCACUGCCCCCGCUGCCUCUCACGCCACUCCGCCGACAGCCACGGCAGUUCCUACACGUCAGGCAUCAAGGCCAACUCCUGGCUCAGGGAAUCCAGAGAGAUGUCUGUGGACGUACCCUUGGAGGUCCACGGGCUCCAUGAGAAGGAGCCGUCCUCCAGCCCCAGGACCAGCUGCAGCCACCCCAGCACACGUGGUGACAGCCAAGGUGGGCCCGAGGGAGAUGCCCAGGCCCCAGGGACAGUGAGUGCGGUCCAGCCAGCCCCAGCUUGGCUGACCCUGGACACCGAGGCAGCAAAGCCCUGGCCUGCCCUCCAGUGGCCAGACGUGAGGGGCUGGGCUGCCUGUGACCUGAGUCCCGGGAAAUAUGCCAGAACAUGCCGGAAGAACAGAGAUGGCAGGGAGGAGCUGCCUGCAUCCUGCUGUGCCCGAGUCUCCUGUUCCUGCCAAGGGGCAGCCGCAGGCUGGGAUCAGAGACAGGAGAGCCACUCACCAGGAGCCCUGCACCGAGGUCAGGACCAGAGGCCAGAGCGCCGAGGCCGUGCACCAGAGCCACUGAGCCUUAGGAUCCCCCAGAGGAGCUAGAGGAGAAGCGAGCCAGUGGUUCCUGGAUGCCCAGGAGGCCGUUCUUGACCACUGAGGUGCUUCCAGAGCUGGUGUUCAAGGCCCACACUCAGACCUGAUCCCAAAUUACACCAAACGCUAAGAGUCCAGGUCCACUGAGUUAAAAGGCAGAAAGCAGCCCCAGGAAAGAAGCUGGGCAAGGUGGGGGCCUCCUGAAAUGCAUCAAAGGAAGAUGCCAAGCCUCUCUCGCAGAGAUCCAGGAAAUGAAAGCCGGGGUCAGUGAGGAGCAGCACAGCCACGGCCUGGACGACAUGCAGCUGCACCAGCUGGCCCUGCACCCAGCGCCCGCCUCACUCAGCCAUACCUUCCACCGCGCCCUGGACUGCAGGCUGGCAGGCCCCUGCGAGACCAGGGCCACUCUCCCCAGCAAGAGGUCCAGCAACUGUCUCGCCCUGGACCUGUUCGGAGAGGCCCCACCACAGGAGUUUGUGGUGUAGGCACCACCCACCCAGCAGUACCGUCUGCACCGCCAGGCUCAGCCCCUGCCCACCCCACUUCCACAUGGCCCUCGGCCCUUCCUGCCCGCCAGAUGCUGCCUGCACCUCCGCAGCCAGCACGCUCCACAGGUUCACCUGUAAGAGGUGUGGAGCUGGCUCUGACAUCAACCUGGGAGGUGACAAACAGGUCCCGCACCUCAUGCCUGUCUGCCAUGCACCCGGGAGCUCUUUCCCUCAGGGUCUCAGGGAGCCGGUUCAAGGUCUGGCUGUCAAGUGUCCAGAGAGCCAUGGUGUUGGCCCCUGAGGCAGCCUGUCACCCAUCCUAAUCUGGGAGAGAAGGUGACACAGCUGGGCCAGACCCUGGAGAGAGAGCUCUGCAGUUUCCCACACUACCAGCUCCCCAAGAGACAGUCCCGAUGGGCACAGGCUGCCAGAGCUCCCAAGCUGGAGUUCACAGUCGUCAUCACUGUGCAGGACCCAGGUUCCUCCCAGACCUGAACCCCUCUCUGCAACUCCUGUUUGCAAGCGCUGGGCCUGCCAGACAGAGGCCCCUCUUGUGGUGCAAGCCCAGCUCUGUCACCUGAGAUCCAGCCAGAGACCCUCUUCCACCAUCCACAGUCAAUGGCUGUGCUUUCCCUUCCAAGCCAGGGCUUCCAAAGACCCCACUGCCCCGGAGCUGAAGCCGACUCUGCUCCCAUCUCAGCCAUGAGGCCUCAGGACCCACUCUGCUCACAGGUGGCUUCCUUAAGCCAUUGCCCUGGCGGGGGUUGGGUUGGUGCAGCCCAGCUGGCGGAGGGGCAAGGCUUCGGUGACAGAUGGAGAGUGGGGACUAGCUGUGCCUGGCACCUGCUCUGAUCUGGUGGGCUCCACGGGUAGUGCGACCUCGGUUCUGUGGGCUCUGGAAGGCCACCAGGGUAGGGUCUCCCCAAGGCUCCUCCCCCUGCACAACACUCCUGCACACGUGCAAACCUGCUGUCCUCUGCAUUUAGAGGAAUGGCCCAUGCAUCCCUGCUAGUCUCAGGCCCAUCCCAGAGCACUGAGAGGCCACAAUCGUUCAGCCCUGUGCCCUGAACACCACUGCCCCCUUCACUGUCUGUGUGUGGUGAAGACCACGCCACACCACCCUCCAGCUCACUGGAGACAAGCAUGAGCUUGAGCCCCAUGGCCUGGUGCAGGGCUGCGUGCAUUGAGGCCGCCUCUUUGACGGGUCCAUCCAGGGGGACCCUCUCCUUUCUGUGAAAGGGAAUCGUGUGUGUGCCCCAGGCAUGUGUAAUAAAGAACCCGAGCAGAUGCCUCCUGCUUGAACCAGUA
This is an RNA transcript of Pan troglodytes (chimpanzee), 7612 nucleotides long. It is a transcript of the gene named FERM domain containing 1, with no coding region annotated. The record is from RefSeq and is a predicted model, not a curated record. The transcript is spliced from 14 exons. Lineage: Eukaryota; Metazoa; Chordata; Mammalia; Primates; Hominidae.